Molecule: small RNA, 7157 nt
Filed under: Arabidopsis thaliana (thale cress)
Lineage: Eukaryota; Viridiplantae; Streptophyta; Magnoliopsida; Brassicales; Brassicaceae
Description: ATSL274080
Rfam family: MIR854 microRNA precursor family (bases 5052-5272)
Source: RNAcentral
CCCACUCGACCACCUUGAUGAAUUCAAUAGGCUCUACAACCUAACAAAGAUCAAUGGUUUCAGUGAAGACGGAUUCAAGCUCCGUUUGUUUCCAUUCUCAUUGAGCGACAAAGCACACAUUAGGGAGAAGAAUCUUCCCUAUGACUCAAUCACCACUUGGGAUGAUUGCAAGAAGGUUUUCCUAUCAAAGUUCUUCUCGAACGCCAGAACUGCAAGACUCAGAAAUGAGAUCUCUGGCUUUUUACAGAAGGCUGGUGAAAGCUUCUAUGAAGCAUGAGAGCGUUUCAAGGGUUAUACCAACCAAUGCCCUCAUCAUGGCUUCACUAAAGCCUCUCUGCUCAGCACUCUUUACAGAGGAGUUCUACCACGCAUCAGAAUGCUUCUGGAUACUGCCAGUAAUGGGAAUUUCCAGAAAAGGGAUGUUGAAGAAGGUUGAGAAUUGGUUGAGAACCUUGCUCAAUCAGAUGGUAAUUACAACGAGGACUGCGAUAGGACCGUCAGAAGCACAACUGACUCUGAUGACAAACACAGGAAGGAGAUUAAAGUGCUGAAUCACAAGCUGGACAUGAUUCUUCUUAGCCAGCAGAAGCAUGUGCACUUCCUUGUUUAUCAAGUCCAAGAUGGGGAGGGUAACCAGUUGGAAGAAGUUAGCUACAUCAACAACAACCAGAGUGGCUACAAAGGUUACACCAACUUCAAAACCAACAACUAGAGUGGCUACAAAGGUUACAACAACUUAAAACCAACAACCCCAACCUCUCCUACCGCAGCACCAACGUUGCUAAUCCACAAGACCAAGUUUAUCCUCCACAGCAACAACAAGGUCAGAACAAACCGUUUGUUCCCUACAACCAAGGUUUUGUUCCUAAGCAGCAAUUUCAGGGGAACUACCAGCCGCAACCACCACCUGGGUUUGCACCUCCGCAAAACCAAGGUCCUGCUGCUCCUGAUGCUGAAAUGAAACAGAUGGUACAACAAUUGCUACAGGGACAAGCAUCUAGCUCCAUGGAAAUUGCUAAGAAAUUAUUUGAAUUGCACCAUAAGCUGGACUGCAGCUACAAUGACCUGAAUGCCAAAGUGGAGGCAUUGAAUACCAAAGUCAGAUACUUAGAAGGCCAAUCAGCAUCUACCUCUGCACCUAAAGUUACAGGACUUCUUGGGAAGUCAAUAUAGAAUCCAAAGGAGUAUGCAACUGCUCACGCCAUCACCAUCUGCCAUGAUCGAGAGCUGCCAACUCGACAUGUCCCUUAUUUAAUCACUAGGGACAUUGAUGUUCAAGAAGGGGAGGCUUUUACUCAGAUUGAAGUCUCUAUUGUUGAAUUCAACAAUUCUGUUGGUUCUCGCCAUCUCAUUCAAUCCACCUCGGAAGAGAAGGCCGCCAUAAUCGAGAGAAUGGUGAAACGAUUCAAACCUACUCCAUUACCCUCACGUGCUCUUCCGUGGAAAUUCAGGAAAGCGUGGAUGGAGAGAUACAAGUCUGUUGCAGCGAAGCAGCUGGACAAGAUUGAAGCAGUGAUGCCACUGAUGGAAGUUCUCAACCUGAUUCUUGAUCCUCACAAAGAUGUAAGAAAUUUUAUACUGGAAAGGAUCAAGAUGUAUCACGACUCAGAUUAUGAAAGUGAUGCCACUCCAUCUCGAGCUGCUGAUAAGAGGAUUGUUCAAGAGAAGUUAGAAAAUCCUGGAUCUUUCACUCUACCAUGUUCCAUUGGGGAAUUAGCUUUCAGCGAUUGUUUGUGCGAUCUCGGAACCUCUGUCAGCCUAAUACCACUCUCUGUGGCAAGAAGGUUAGAGUUUAUUCAGUAUAAACCUUGUGACCUGACUUUGAUCCUUGCGGACAGGUCUUCCAGAAAACCCUUCGGCAUGCUGAAAGAUCUACCAGUCAUGAAUAAUGGAGUAGAAGUGCCUACAGACUUCGUGGUGCUGGAUAUGGAAGUAGAGCAUAAGGAUCCCUUAAUCCUGGGAAGACCCUUCUUAGCUUCAGUGGGAGCAGUGAUAGAUGUCAGGGAAGGGAAAAUAAGUCUCAACCUUGGAAAGCACAUCAAGUUGCAGUUUGACAUCAACAAAACUCCACAAGGGUAAAGAGAAGAUGGAAAAACCUCUGGAAAUGAUAGAGUGAUCUCAGAAGAAGGAUAUGAGACUGAAAGAGUAAAGGAACUUAAUAAGAGGUCUGAUAAGCAAGAUGAAACUAUAGAGAAGCUAGCCCACACUGUUGAGGAACUUAGAAGUAAGUUGAAUCAGUUGCAGAAGGAAGCUCAACCUAAAGGCGGGAUUGACACUAUCCCGAGAAAGAAGUUCACUUCAAGAAGGUCUGAAGAGACAUAUUACCCUCCUGAAGAGAAAGAAGCCUAUUUUGAAGAAAGGGGAAUUGAGUAUUCUGUUGUAUACCUCUCCAGGGAGGACGCUGAGUAUGAUGAUGAUAUUAGAGAGGACUAUGCAGACCCUUUCUAUCAUUCAUUUUCUUCUUAAUAAGUGUGAGGAGUCAAGCUAGAGACUUUAAACAAGCUCACUUGGGAGGAAGUCCCAUGAUUAUCCUUGUAAAUAAUUUUUACUUUCUUGUUAUUUUUGAUAUGUUUUACUUGUGUUUGUGGUUCUCAGGAAUAGAGGAAUAACGUGAAGCUAGAGUAAAAAUUAAAAACUUUUACUCUACAGAUGGCCUAGAGAUCGAGUACAUUGGUCGAGUAUGAGUGAUGUUUAAAACCCAAAAAAAUUUCAAUCAUCAUUUUACUCAACCAACGAAAGCUAUUGAGUCUUACAGAGAGUUUAUCAAGUCUACAGGAGAUUGCGGGAUUUUCUGGGGGGUUUUCAGUAAACAAAGAGUACAAAAUAAAGACAAGAAGACAUUGUGAGACCCACCGCUGACGCCCAUGUCCUCCAUGCAACAGACCAAAGGACAAGAAAUCUCUCCUCAUCUCUUCUCCUCCACUCGACCCCCAUCCCUCUUAACUCGACCUCAUCACCUCGUCAUCUCUUCCAGUCCCAUUAAACUCGACCUCCAUUUCUCAUCCAAACUCAACCAAACUCUCAUCUCUUUUCUCUCAACCACUCGACCUCACCAUCUCUCUUCCUCACGCACUUGAUUCCUCAACGCUCACUCUCAUUCUCACCAAGUACUCGUUUUCAAAUCAUCAUCAUCUUCACCGCUUUGCUCCAUUCACUCGACCGCCGUGAGUUUCUCUCUUCACCAUAGACACUCAAUCGCAAACAAAGAAGAAGGAGAACAAGACUCAACUUCUAAACCGAGUCUAGCUUUGAACUCAUCACCUCGCCUAUUCAAGACCUCCUUCAACACUCGACCACUGAUUACGUUUCACCUCAUCACUCGACUUCACGGCAAGAGCACCUCCUCCUCUCCUCCACCACCGUUCACGCAGCUCCAUGUAGGAUACUCGACCGCAACGCCUUCGUCAUCUUUCUCAUCACUCGACUCGUUCUCUUCACCAUCUCUGAGCCGGUUCUCGUUCACCAAUCACUCGAUUCGCCACAGUCGACCAUCACUGCAACUCAUCUCUCACUAUACUCGACCGCAACUCCUACAUAAACUCAUCGUUUUCACCGCUCAAGCUCCGUCACUUCACUCGACCUUCCAAUAUCACUCGACCAACAAUCCACAAACCGAAAAAAAAAAAUUCAGAACCGGUUAAGAUAUACUCGAUCGGUUUACUCUGUUGGUUUGUGUUUUUGGUUUUGUUGGGCUAACGUAUUAACGUUUAUCUUUGAGUUUCAUUUGUUUUCAGGUUUCAUUAUGAGUAACUACAGUGGAGAAUCCUCAAUUGAUCCUGAUUAUAAUGUAGACGAAGCUGAGUCUUGGUACACUAGACCGGAGAGAGAGCAACAUGUUUACGAGAGCUUCAUGGAUGAAUUUGAACGCUCUGCUGCUCGACGUAAUCAGAGAAGAGCUGAAAUCGCCAGAGGAAAGAGGGCGAUGUCGAGUAGAUAUGAGCUGAUUGAUGAGGACAUCGAAACUGAGUAUGAGCCAGAGUCAUGGUGUAAGGAGACGAAGCUGCAGAACAAACCCGACGAGGUUACAGCGGAGGAGUAUAUCAGAUUUUUUUAGAUGAACGACUUCUGGGGAACGAGGUAUCCCUGCUAUGAGACUUUAGCCCAGCUGGGGUUACUGGAGGAUGUGCAGCAUCUGUUCGAGAAGUGUCAUUUGGAGACACUCAUGGCUUAUCCUUACGCUGCGUAUAAGGAGGAGACAAUCAAGUUUCUUUCCACACUGCAAUUGGAGAUGUAUGAGGGUCUCACGGACUUUGAGCUGGAUACCAUGGGGUUAGGGUUCCUGAUGUUCUCAGUGGAUGAUUAGCGGUAUCAGCUUUUGAUCAAGAAUUCGGAAGAACUGUUUGGUUUCCCUAGUGGAAAGGGAACCAAACCCAGGUUUGACAGGGAGGAGCUUAAGGAUUUGUGGGCUACGAUUGGGAACAAUCUACCGCUAAACUCGGCGCGGUCCAAGAGCAAUCAAAUCCGGAGUCCUGUGAUCCGCUACUUUCAGCGCUCGGUUGCCAACGUUUUCUACUCCAGGGAGUCUACAUGCACCGUAUCUAACACGGACAUGGAGAUGAUAGAUUCCGCGCUUACAGGGAUUCUCCGCCGGACAAAGGGAAAGAAUGUCUUGAGAGGCGAUCUCAACAAUGCACCACCAGUAAUGCCUCUGUUGAUCCACCUGUGUGGAUACAAGAAGUGGGCGUUGACGAACGGUAAGAAAAAGGUGAGAGGAGCACUAUGCGUGGGUGGCGUUGUGACGCCAAUUCUGAAAGCUUGUGGAGUACCGCUCAAAGAACCAAGGUUAACACCGAGAAUGAUGGACUUGGAUCAUUUGCGCCGAUGUGAGUUCUUGGAGUUUGACAUGGUUGGCGACUUUCACCGCUACAGGUUCGAGCAUCCAUCGAUUAGAAUCGCCAACAUUCUUCUCUCCUGCAUUGACGCUACUAGGAUUCUCGAGGGCAAAAACAUUGACUUCAAGCCUGCGCUUGAAGAUCUUUAUUUCGAGGACAGUCCGCCAACUGAGGAGAUUAGUCACACCGAAGGAGCUACAACAGAAGAUGUUGAUGAGACAGAUGAUAUAGAUGAGGCAGAGUUUGAUACGACCAUGUAUCAUUUCAGUGAACAUAUACCUCCAGCGAGGGAAAGCAAGAGUUUGAGCGAAGCUCACAGGAACAACAGCAAGCUGCAGAAGUGGUGCAAGAAACAUGAUAAGUUGCUCGCCAAGUGCCUCAGGGCUAUCAUGUUUCUGAAGGACAAGAUCAGCUGCUCCUCUUCCACUACAGCUAUUCCGUAGGGACAGCUCCCUCAGGACAUGCCCUCGAGGAGAUAUGACGCGCCCGAGCCAAGUCGGCGCAGGCCUGAGCCUAGAGAGCAGGAGAUUCCAUAUGUCCCUGCGAGGCAUUCAUCAUUCGAGCCUCGUGAAUCUGGGAGGAAGAGGAGGACCACGCUCACUCGAUCUAGCAGGAGGAGCAGACGACUUCUGCAGUCUCGUAGUUUACGCGACCGCGGUGCUGACCGCAGCACAAGAAGAGAGGUCGAGUAUCCUCAGAGUUUUGCUGGCCGCCACAGAGCUGAUGAGGUCGAAUACCCACCUGCUAGAGCUGAUACAGAACAGGGCAGUUCGUCUAUGGCCUGGGAGCAAUCACAGGCAGCCAUUGACGACCAACUUCGUUCAUUCUUCGACUGAGGUAAGCGCCUCACUUCACCAUUGUAUUAUAUCAUCUGUUGUGAUUGGAUUUGUCCUGAGUACUCUCUUCCAAGUUUAUUCACACAGUGGACUGUGUGAUUAAGUUUGGGGGAGGGCUCAGGAAGUGUGUGUUGCACUGUGUAUAUAUUUGAGUUUGCAUUCAUCUAAGGCAUAGAAAAACCAAAAAAAUUUAAAAAAUUUCAGAAAAUGAUUUCACAAAAAAAGAGUGUUCAUGUAGUUGCAUUACAUUUAGGAUCGAGUCUAGAGUGUUUCAUUUAGGAUUGUUGCAUAUGCAUAGGGGAUAAUGAUUAGAUAGCCUUGUAAGCAUUUUGGUUCACUGGAUAAACUCAGUGCCUUCGUUGCUAGUUGUCUGUUGCGUAGUCAAUGAAUUUGAAAUAAAACUGAACCAUGCCUAGAUUGCUCUACUCAACCACACUUUCAUGAUCUGAUACCAUUCCCUAUCAAUUUGAACCUGAAUCUGAUCUUUAAUUAUCAUGUCUGCAUCAAAUUUAAACUCAUGGAUACCCUAAAAUACUUGCAUUUUCUUAUUCAUUUUGAUCACUCUUGUUAAUCCAAGUAGCUGACUCUCCUUAUUCGAGCAGUUAACCCAAACCCAAACCUAGACUUUCUUUCAAGCCCUAUAUCACUUGUGAGUGUUUGUGAGGUCUUAUUCCGAUUAAGCUUGGCAGAAAGUGUUAGGUUCGUAACGAUAGAGAUAGUGUCUCAUGUAGUUCUAGUUCACAUUUUUCGGACUAGAUAGGACUAGGUGGGCGCUUAUACUUUGGGUUGGGAUGUUUUUAAAAGAAAAAAAAAGGGGUUGAUUCAUUGAUGAGAAAAGGUAAAAGACUCUAGGUGAAAUAAGCUAAAGAAGCAGAAAAAGUCUAGUAAAGGUUUUGGGAUUUGUAAAGAAAAGAAAGAGUUCUUGUUAUCUAUUGAAGAUCGGCAAAAGCCCUGAGUUUUAAAAUGUUAAAAACAGGAACCUUAGUUGUUAAAGAAAUCCAAAUCCGCUAGAUGUAUCAAAUUGUUGAGAAAGCUUCUCCUAGAGUUAAGAGAAGAAAAAAAAGAAUGAUUAGAAAAAGGACUUAAAAGAUUCAUGAAUGCAAAGGGUAGAGUUAAGUUCUUAUAUUGGGAUUGGAGAUGGGAUUACCAUUAGAGAUUCAUUUGAUAUACUCUGGGUAGAUGAGAUCUUAUCUCUGUAUGCAUAGCUUGAGACUUACCUUUAGCAUUCUACUAAAGCUUAAUCAUUUUUUUGAGAGAUCCCCUGUUACUGAAGCCUGUUCUGUAAGAGACCAUCUUUGUCUCUUGACCUUUUACCAAAUGAGUUCAUUGAUGAUGCAUUGCUUGAUUCACGUUCCAGAGCUAAUGAAUGUUAAAGGGAUUGGUAGAUUUGAAAACAUGUGUAGGUCGAGCAUAUGAGUCGGAUUGAUUAAUAACAAGGCAUGGCUAACGUUUUUGAGUAGAAUUCGAUCAUAUCGCAGCUUAGAGCUAU